Molecule: long non-coding RNA, 670 nt
Organism: Bufo gargarizans (Asiatic toad)
Lineage: Eukaryota; Metazoa; Chordata; Amphibia; Anura; Bufonidae
Exons: 2
Source: RefSeq, a predicted model, not a curated record
UGAGUGCAGGUCUUGAGGGGUGGUAUAUGGUUUGGUGCAGGUCAUGAGGGGUGGAAUACGGUUGGGUGCAGGUCUUGGGGCGUGGUAUAUAGAUGAGUUCAGGUCUUGAUCUACUCUUUCCUAACAGUAAGAUAUCAACUGACCUGAGAGAUGGUUCUCUGCCCUGACUAAUGAGACAGAACAGAUCUUCUUCCAGAUUGGGUUAUUGACUCGGUCACGGGUCCCCAAUGUGUAACCAGAACCCCCAAUAACAGACUCCGUGUAACAUCCGUCAUACAAUCACAUGUAUAAAUGUCCCUGUUUAGUUCAUGUCUUAGGAGGGGAUCAUGUGACGCCCCAUAAGGCACCUAUGUGCUACAUCUGAUCUGAGAAUAGCAGAAUAAAUCGGAAAUUACGUCUGGUCACAUUACGCUAUAGAACGCCACGUAUCCAGAAGUCUAAAGUCGAAGCCCGAUUACCCGGGUGGAAGCUACCACCUAGUGGGGGAGGUGUAAACUACAGGUCACAUGGACAGGAGGUGACAGCGGGAAGGAUUAUUGUGUAUAUAGUCAUAGACUGAUGACACACGGUGUAUACCCCGGGUAGAGGCUACCACCUAGUGGGGGAGGUGUAAACUACAGGUCACAUGGACAGGAGGUGACAGCGGGAAGGAUUAUUGUGUAUAUAGUCA